RNAcentral lists this ribosomal RNA (225 nucleotides) under uncultured bacterium. RNAcentral's name for it is "partial 16S ribosomal RNA". It matches the Rfam family "Bacterial small subunit ribosomal RNA", at positions 524 to 749 of the family's 1533-position model. The record is from RNAcentral.
UACGAAGGGGGCUAGCGUUGCUCGGAAUCACUGGGCGUAAAGCGCACGUAGGCGGCUUUUUAAGUCAGGGGUGAAAUCCUGGAGCUCAACUCCAGAACUGCCUUUGAUACUGAGAGCUUGAGUCCGGGAGAGGUGAGUGGAACUGCGAGUGUAGAGGUGAAAUUCGUAGAUAUUCGCAAGAACACCAGUGGCGAAGGCGGCUCACUGGCCCGGUACUGACGCUGG